Molecule: unclassified non-coding RNA, 387 nt
Filed under: soil metagenome
Description: partial internal transcribed spacer 1
Source: RNAcentral
AAAAUUGAAAAGGACCGGGGGGGUGUGGUGGGUAGUGAUGAUAGAUCCAGCUUUUCUUGAGCUGAUUGUAUCAUCAGUACUCCCCUACCAUAUGCAACAGUGAUAUAUCAUUCCGUGCAUGUGUGUGUUGAGUUUCCAGAUCUGUAAAUUCCACACUCGUAUACGUAGAGUUUUAUGCACUGCUGUUAAACCCCUAGCUCGGAUAUUUUGUCUGAAAGGACCUUUUGCAAACUGUACUGUCUCUGGCGGCUGGAAGUAUUUACUACUUCUGUCAGCUUGAGGGACUUGGUCUCUCGAGCCGUGGACAAACCGCCAAACACGUUUCUUAAACACAAUUAUUUGUAACUUUUUAUGUCUGAUAUUUUUUCUUGUAUUUAAAUAUACAAA